This is a non-coding RNA of Neotoma lepida (desert woodrat), 70 nucleotides long. The record is from Rfam. Lineage: Eukaryota; Metazoa; Chordata; Mammalia; Rodentia; Cricetidae.
GGAGAGAUGGCUCAGCGGUUGAGAGCACUGGAUGCUCCUUCAGAGGUCCUGGGUUCAAAUCCCAGUACCA